This 7637-nucleotide long non-coding RNA is filed under the name Physcomitrium patens. RNAcentral's name for it is "long non-coding RNA (PPAT_LNC005885)". The record is from RNAcentral. Lineage: Eukaryota; Viridiplantae; Streptophyta; Bryopsida; Funariales; Funariaceae.
UUUUGACUGUUGGAAUAUAAGCGACUGCAAGAAUACACCGUAAAUCUAUACGGAUGCCCUUCGACUGCUCGCCGAAGUCCUUUUUGCCCCAGCCGGUAGGUCUCUAGACGUUACAAAGAACCCCGAACAACCCAAUCUGCUAAUCUCCGAUAUCGCUUUAUACUCACGAUCUUGUAUCCACUGACUGUCUUGUUAGAUUAACCCAAUAAAUUUCAUUCACUCCGCAUACUCAAUCCUAUAGAAACCCUUUUAAUUCUUCAUCACAGAGGUAACUCGAUUUCACAAAACAGUCAAGAGUAAUCAAACCCACUUCAUUAAAAAUCCCGAUUCACCAUUACAACACUAACUUCAGCAACGAUUGCCUCAGUCUUUCCAAAACCCUAUGAAGAAAAAAAACCCAAUUCUCUGUCUUUUUUUUCCUUCCGAAGCAUGAAGCUCGCUCUCUGAUCCUUCAAAAAAACCCCUCCCAAAAACUUAUUCUCUCCCCUCUCAUUUCUUAACCUUAAUUCUGAAUUUCUUCAAUCCUCCAUCUUAGAUCCGGAAUUGGCUCCCACCGUCAGAGCUUGGAUCCGAAAUUGGCUCUCGCCGUUAGAGCUUUUUCCUCUGUUUUUACCUUUAAGAGAUCCUUUUACCGAAAACAACGUUCCUUGAAACGGCACAGAGAUCAGGACAUCCUGAAACAGAAUCGAAACCCCAUAAUCAGGACAAUAUUGAGUCGUCCAACCAAUUCAGGUCUCAUAUUGGCUAAGAGUCUAGUAGUAAGACCCGGAUGUUUCCAUAAUUGAAUCAAAUUGGUCCUUCACGUCAGAUUAGCUGAGGCCCGUAGUAAGACUUGGAUUUUUCCGUAAUUAGACUGCAUUGGAUUGCCCGACCAAUUCAGGUCUCAUAUUGGAUAAGAGGACCCAGAUUGGAUUCUUGAAAUUGGAUCCAAUUGGCUGUUCGAACCAGGCUCACCCAUCGUGUGAAUUGGUCCUUUCCCUUCCUGCUGACUCCCGUUAUUGGAAUCGAACGUAGCAUUUCAGUAUACUCCGACUGACUGUAAUGGGGUGACUGAACCUGGCCACUCAGUAUUUGUACUCGAGUUGGUCGUUGCUCCCAAUAUUCGAGGUAACUGAACAUUAAUAAAAGUACCCUUUCUUUAUAUUUUUAUGGUAUACUCAUGUUACAAUACGACAUCCAUCCCCUCUGAACCUGUGCAUCCUCCGAUAUGCACCAAUUUAUCCAAUUGCUGUUUGAUUUAGAAUAUAUCCUCUACGUCUUUGUCUUGUUCGUCAUCAUCACCUUCAUUAUCCAAAUCACUUUCAUCUUCUUGCUGCGAAAUCUCUAUACCUUCAUUAAGGUCUUCCAUAUUCAUCUCCGCGUAUCUUCGUUUAAAUAUUUUUACUCGCUUCCUUGCAAUUGGUAUUUUCAAUUUUGUACCAUCUAACUCUCGUAAUGAGUAAGUCGCAUUAUCAUGAACAGUUGUUACUACAUAUGGUCCAAACCAACGUUUUGAAAAUUUCCGCAAAAUACUAUGUUGAUUAUCCAGACUAUUGUCAUAAAUAAGUACCCAGUCACCUUCCUCAAUUGCUUUAGGUCUCAAUCGAUGUUGCUUGUCAAAUCGCGCCUUGUUUUGUAACCUUGCUCUUUUUAACCUUCCCAAUGCUAUCUGGACAUCUUCCGUUCUUUGCUCCAAUUGUCGAAUCCUAAUAGCCAGAAGUUCUUCUCUUGUCAAUCCAUCUUCCCAUGGUAGCAUACUCCAAGUAAGUACCUUUUCUUCAAUCGACAUAAUUGAUUUUUGACCUGUCAUAAGUUCUACUGGCUUAUAUCCUGUCAUCGAACUAUGUGUUGUUCGAUUAGCCCAUAAUGCACAUGACAAAAGCCGUGGCUACUCUUAAACUUUCCCAUUACAAGCUUUAACUAAUGCUUUCACAAUUGGUGGGUGACCGCGUUCGCUUUUUACAUUCCCUUCCGGAUUAUAAGCAAUAGUCAGUGAUAGUUUAACUCCACAUUUUUCAAAGAACUUACGAGCUUCUUGUGCAUUUAAUUCUCCACGAUCAGCAGUAAUUUUUCCUACGCAUCCGUAGCGGCAAAUGACAUCUUCAAGCAAAAACCUACAAAUCUCCUCUGUAGAUUUUGUCCUCAAUGCUCUUCCUUCUACUUGAUUUGAUAAAUCUUCGCAAGCUAAAACCAAAUAUCUCAUCUGCUAUAACCCAACCGGCAUAAUAACCAAAUCAACAACCCAUUUAAAAUGAAUAGCCAGAGGAUACGUAGGAUGAAGACCAUCUCGAUGUCGGAUAUUAGAAUACGAUUGACAAAUUUCACAUGACUCUACAAAUGAGAGCACAUCUCGAUACAUAUUUUUCCACCAAUAUCGUUCCUUGAGUUUAGCAAAAGUAGCCCAGAUUCUUCUAUGCCCUGCCCAUAAACUAUCAUGAAACUCCUUUAAUAAUUUUAGUUUUUCUUCUUUUUUGCCUAUCACUCGUUGUGGCAUCCCAAUUGCUUUCUUCGGUCUCUUCGAUAAGAAUCCAUCUCGAAGUAAAAAUCCAUAUGCUUUUUUUCUUAUUUGUUUGAAUUAUUCUGUAGACAGAUUCCCCUACUUAGUCAAGGUAUUCAAAUAAUGACCAAUAUCCAAUAAUUCUCCUUCAUAAUAUUCUUCAAGAAGUAGCUUGUCUUCUCUGUUGAGAUUUGAUAUUGAAUAGAAUUUCAAUCCGACGUCAUCAAUGUCUUCAACCAUUUCGUCCUCCCUCUCGUAUCUUGCUCGAGAUAGCAUGUCUGCUACUAAAUUGUCCUUCCCAGUAACAUGCUUAAAUUCCAGAUUUAGUAAAUUCCGGAUUCCGGAUCAAAUAGUCCUUUUCAGCUUUCAUAGCCGAAACAACUCCCCAAAGUUCUCUUUUGACUUGCGAAUAUGCACGCUGACGAAUACUUAAAACUUUAGCUCCAAAUCGAACUGCAAAUCUAUUCCCACUUGAAUCAUCUUGAUCCACAGCCCAUCCAAUGGCAAUUGGAUUAGCGUCCACAAUAAGAAUCACUGGUCUAUUGCACUUAUAAUCAACCUUCCUCAAUAUUGGAGGUGACAUCAAUAAUUUCUUUAAUCUUUGCAUUGCCUGAAUAUGCCUUUCUUUCCAUUUAAAUCGGUAACCCUUGCAUAACAGUUCAUAUAAUGGAUUCACUAUGUCAACAUAAUGAAAGAUCCAGAUUUGAUAAAAUACACAUACACCUAAAAACUUGCGAACAUCUAUUAAAGAAUCACAAUCCUCUUUCAUCCUUCCAAUUGCAUCAACUUUAGUCGGAUCUGGUUUUCUUUCGUAAGAUCUACAUAAAUGUCCAACAAUCACAACCUCUCGUAUUUCAAAUACGGACUUCAUACCCGAUAAUGUAAGAUGAACUUCUCCAAGCCGAGUUAAAAUCUUUUCACAAUCUUGUAUAUGAUCAACAACAUAUUUGCGACACCCCCUCGUAUCUAAAGUUUCAUCCUUGUCUCCUUCUCUGCACCCUUUUAUGGGAACAUCAUCCUGAAAAGGCAUAGUCUUUUCCAGAAUAAAAUCUCUCAAUACCUUAUUCAUCUCAUUCAUCAUAUGUGCAACUGAGUUGGUCGCGCCUUGAAGAAGAGUGCACAUUCUAACCAAUCCAAGUGGUGUCCUCAUUGUUGUCAUAUCUCCACUUCCUUCGGCAAGUUGAAAUUGAUCAUAAGCUGAAUAUAAGUCACCCAUUGAAUGGAUCGCCCUUCCAGCAAACGCCUCAGCAAAUUCAUCCACAAUAGGUCCAAUUCCUGCAUUCCUGACAGUUACUGUAUUCACUGGUUGCAUAUCUUGAAUAAACCGUAGUGACCCAUUCUUCUUAGGUACCGUAAACCAUCGACUAGAAUACAGCGCAAACGAGGAUUCCAAUAUUUUCAUCUUUAACUUUUCUUUUAAUAGUUCAACUAAUUUAGGUAAAUGUGCCCUCGGUAUUAGAAUCGGUCUUAGAUUCUAAGGUACAUGCGGUAUAGUGAAGAUAACCAUAGGUGUUAUAAUAUUUGGAUCCACACACCCAAUUUCCUGAGAUUCGAAAGCAAACGAUCUACCUUGUUUAGCCAACAUCUUUUUGAAGCAAGUAAUUUCCUCCGGCAAUAAAAAACCAUCAAAACCAAUCUUCAAUUCUUCAAAAGUCUCUUUAGUAAACUAAUGUCCAAUACUCAUUGGAUCUCUUAAACUUGCUUCUUUUGAUGCUUCUCCCAUUUGUUUUUUAGAAUCUUCUGGUAAUGGUUUGGCAACAGGCUUUACCUUCUUAUCUGCCAUUUUAUAUCUUGACUUCUGGUGCUUGAAAAGAUUCAAUUAUGGUAUAAACCUCUCUUGAAUGAAUCUCAACAAUCUUAUCAUUAUCCCCUAACCCAAUAGAUGUAAUCAUUUCCAAUGAAUCUUCCAGUCCAUUUUCUUAAUUAAAACCCUAAAAUCCUCUCAUCAUCUUGCAAUGUAUCUAACUUGCGUAAUUCUCUUUCAAUAUUAUAUAAUCUUUUUCUUUCUUUUCUUUUAAAAUCCUCAACUUUCUUAUACAUAAUAUUUCCAUUCUCCAAUAUACCAAUAAAACUCGCAUCAAAGGCACCUUCAUCUCGCGAGAGUACCUCCUCUUUUGUACCUCCAUAAUCUUGCUUUACAGUGGUACCUCUCCAAAAUCCUUAAAUCCUUCAACAAUCUUUGGCAAUGGUUUCUCCCUCAACCUAUCUCGAUUCCGUUCAUGGUUAAGAGGUAUUAUUAGAAAUUGUACAGCUUUCCUCCCAUCUUCACUCCGUACCCUUGCAUAAGCAGAACCAUCAUCAAGUACUUUUGUUUCCAUCCGUAUUGCCAUAGUAUAAGGUUGUCCUAAAAUCAACGGAUAAGAUGUUGUAUCUUGAACAAAGAAAUGUUGCUCCGUCACAACAUCUCCAAUCCGAAUUUUGACAUCCAGACAAGCUCCAUAUAAUUCACCCCGUGUGUUAUUAGAUGCUCGUAUUGCCCAUCCAUGUUCCAUAUCAAUUCGCCAUUUUUGCUUCUUAUAAAGAUCUUUAGACAUGAGAUUUAUUUCAGAACCAUGGUCGACUAAAGCAACAAUUGGUUCUUCUAUAUCUCCUACUUUCACCAAUACCUCAGUAGUUGCCCUUGCCCAAUGCUUUCAAGUAUAAUGGCUCAAGGUUUCGAUUUCGUUAUCACUAUAAUCUUCAAAACGUACUCGUUGAUUAUACCCAUUCUUUUCAUUUGUUGGUUGCUUGUAACCAAUAUCAACCUCUUCUUCAUCUUUAUAUAUUCUUGCAUCAAUAACAUGACUCAUUCCAGUUUUGCCCAUUAAUUGCCUCUUUUGCUUAAUGUUGUCAAUGAUAACAUCAUGAAACUCCUUCUUUGCAAUUCUCAAGACUUCUUUCAAUGUGAAUUCCACCUUAGCAUUUAAUAUACGUUCUUCCAACACCCCUUUCAAAUUUAAUGCCGUUUCAAUGUUAGAAAGUAGCUUAUAAGCAAUUGAUUUGCCCUUAUCUUUUGUCUCCUUUUUUUUUUCUCCCAAUGAUGCUGAGGUAUCCUUUACAGGCAAUUCUUGUGAAGCUGCCUCCCGAGCCUUGUCUCCUCGAGUUUGCCUCUUAGAAGAAUUUCCUUCUCUAGUAUCAUCAAAAUUUCCUCGUCUCUUUUCUUCCAUCAAAGCUUCAUGUUGGCUCUUAGCAAUAUAUGCAUGAACUGAAAGAGAUUCAGCACGAUCCUCCCAACUUGUUCUACCUCGUAUUGUAGCUGCAGUCUGCAAUAACACUUCUCGAGGUAAUUUUCCUUCUUACAUUGUUGAAACGGCAGAAGCUCAAAACUCACUAGUUUCCGUACUUCCACCGAGGUCAUCAUCUACUCUAGCACCAUAACUUGCACUUUCUCGUGCUGUUGUUUUAUGCUCUUUUAGGUAAUCUUGAACCAAUGCUCUCAUUCUUCCUUUGCCAAAAUUGGUUUGAAGAAGAUCCUCCCUAUCCUUUAAUGCUAUCUUCCUAUCUUUCCGGCAAAUAAUUCCUUGUCGUAUCAUAUUAUUAAAUUCAUUGCAAUCUUUUCUAGUGUGUGAAGCAUCAUCACACCAAAUGCAUCUUUGUACAUAUCCUUGUUUUGAAACAUUCUUCAAAUUAUUUGUAGAAGUAUUCUCUUCAAGUCUUGCCAAUUUGAUUUAAAGAUCUCGCAUUUCCCGUAUAAUUUCUUCCAUCCCCAUAUAUGCUUUCUUCGAUAAGGAUGUCGAAGGUUGAACUGUAGGCAUUGUUAGUGGUGUUGUACAUACUGGAGCUUUGGGUGCUUGUACUGUUUUUGGAAUAUUGCUCCUAUCCUUCUUCCUUUCUUUUUUUGUAAGCAACCCCACCGCAUCUUCAACAUUCUUCCACUUUGUUGUCAAUCCUUCAUCUUCUUCUUUGUCUUCAAGAAGGAGUUCUAAUUUCCCUUGCAAUUCUCCAUCAGCAGCUUGAAGAAAUAGAUUAACUCUGUUUGGCACCAAUGUCAAUUUUUCUACCUUCAAUAAUUGAGAGUACUGCCUCUCAAAUUCCCUUAGUAGCUCUGUUGCUUAUAAAUUCUUAUUGGGCCGUUCAAUCCAUUCCAGAAACAACUUCUUAGUAACGCGAUCAGCAUCUUCCAAGAAAUAUUCGUCUUUCAAUGCAUGUGAAAAAACCUCCCAUGAAUUCCCAUAACGAUCCGUAAUCGAUGUAAUAUGGUCUCUUAUCUCCGGUAUCGUGGCAAGUCCAAAUAAUUCAACCAUUUUCUUCUCAAAAACCCGAUUUAAUUCCAUUUCACGAACAUAACAUCUUAAAUACCUUGAAAUAUUCCUCCUAUCAAAUUGAUCAAUUUUAUUGACCACUGCUUGCAAUGCUUUGGUUGCCAAAGCUUCCUUUCGAUCAUUGUUUUGCUGUUGCUGCAUUGAUAAUGAGAAGGCUUGAAACAUACUAGCAAUAGACGGAUCCAUGUGCAUACCUUGUCCUUUAGAAGACUCCCCACCAAAAACUCCUCCCAAAAAUCCUUCAAAAUUUUUAUUUUCGUUUUCCAUAAAAUAAAAAUAAAAAUAAAAUCAAAUGAAAUCUAAUACCUUUCACCUCAAGCUUUCACAUCAGGUUCACCACUUUUUUUGUAUUACGUGCUUUCCUGCUCGAGAAUGCGCUGGACGUUUGGCUGUAGAAGGUAGUAUAGAGAUUCGCCAAUAGUCAAGCAGUCUAUCAGUUUUUGACUGUUGGAAUAUAAGCGACUGCAAGAAUACACCGUAAAUCUAUAUGGAUGCCCUUCAACUGCUCGCCGAAGUCCUUUUCGCCCCAGCCGGUAGGUCUCUAGACGUUACAAAGAACCCCGAACAACCCAAUCUGCUAAUCUCCGAUACCGCUUUAUACUCACGAUCUUGUAUCCACUGACUGUCUUGUUAGAUUAACCCAAUAAAUUUCAUUCACUCCGCAUACUCAAUCCUACAGACACCCUUUUAAUUCUUCAUCACAGACGUAACUCGAUUUCACAAAACAGUCAAGAGUAAUCAAACCCACUUCAUUAAAAAUCCCGAUUCACCAUUACAACACUAACUUCAGCAACGAUUGCCUCAGUCUUUCCAAAACCCUAUGAAGAAAAAAAACCCAAUUCUCUGUCUUUUUUUUCCUUCCGAAGCAUGAAGCUCGCUCUCUGAUCCUUCAAAAAAACCCCUCCCAAAAACUUAUUCUC